CCUACGGGAGGCAGCAGUAGGGAAUAUUGCUCAAUGGGGGAAACCCUGAAGCAGCAACGCCGCGUGGGGGAUGAAGGUUUUCGGAUUGUAAACUCCUUUUGUUAGAGAAGAUAAUGACGGUAUCUAACGAAUCAUCACCGGCUACCUCCGUUCCAGCAUCCGCGGUCAUACGGGGGUGCAAGCGGUAACCGGGAGAACUGGGAGUAAAGAGCGCGUAGGCGGGAUCGAAAGUCAGAUGUGAAAUACUAUGGCUUAACCAUAGAACUGCAUUUGAAACUGUUAGUCUAGAGUAGGGGAGAGGUAGGUGGAAUGCUUGGUGUAGGGGUAAAAUGCGUAGAGAUCAAGAGGAAUACUCAUUGCGAAGGCGACAUGCUAGAACAUAACUGACGCUGAUGCGCGAAAGCGUGGGGAGCAAACAGGAUUAGAUACCCGAGUAGUC
RNAcentral lists this ribosomal RNA (439 nucleotides) under uncultured bacterium. RNAcentral describes it as "partial 16S ribosomal RNA". It matches the Rfam family "Bacterial small subunit ribosomal RNA", at positions 338 to 795 of the family's 1533-position model. The record is from RNAcentral.